CCUACGGGGGGCUGCAGUGGGGGAUAUUGCACAAUGGGGGAAACCCUGAUGCAGCGACGCCGCGUGGGCGAAGAAGGAUUUCGGUAUGUAAAGCCCUAUCAGUAGGGAAGAAGAAAUGACGGUACCUGAGUAAGAAGCACCGGCGAAAUACGUGCCAGCAGCCGCGGUAAUACGUAGGGGGCAAGCGUUAUCCGGAUUUACUGGGUGUAAAGGGAGCGCAGGCGGCAGGGCAAGCGUGAUGUGAAAGCCCGCGGCUCAACCGCGGAACUGCAUUGGAAACUGGCGGGCUGGAGUGCCGGAGAGGUAGGCGGAAUUCCUGGUGUAGCGGUGAAAUGCGUAGAGAUUAGGAGGAACACCAGUGGCGAAGGCGGCCUACUGGACGGUGACUGACGCUGAGGCUCGAAAGCGUGGGGAGCAAACAGGAUUAGAUACCCUAGUAGUC
RNAcentral lists this ribosomal RNA (442 nucleotides) under uncultured bacterium. RNAcentral describes it as "partial 16S ribosomal RNA". It matches the Rfam family "Bacterial small subunit ribosomal RNA", at positions 338 to 795 of the family's 1533-position model. The record is from RNAcentral.